RNAcentral lists this ribosomal RNA (419 nucleotides) under rhizosphere soil bacterium RSC-II-16. RNAcentral describes it as "bacterial SSU rRNA". It matches the Rfam family "Bacterial small subunit ribosomal RNA", at positions 9 to 424 of the family's 1533-position model. The record is from RNAcentral.
GAGUUUGAUCCUGGCUCAGGAUGAACGCUAGCGGCAGGCUUAAUACAUGCAAGUCGUGGGGCAGCGCGGGUAGCAAUACCUGGCGGCGACCGGCAAACGGGUGAGGAACAUGUACGCAACCUUCCUUUAACUGGAGAAUAGCCCCUCGAAAGAGGGAUUAAUACUCCGUAACAUAUUGAUAAGGCAUCUUAUUAAUAUUAUAGCUCCGGCGGUUAAAGAUGGGCGUGCACCUGAUUAGAUAGUUGGCGGGGUAACGGCCCACCAAGUCUGCGAUCAGUAACUGGUGUGAGAGCACGACCAGUCACACGGGCACUGAGACACGGGUCCGACUCCUACGGGAGGCAGCAGUAAGGAAUAUUGGUCAAUGGACGCAAGUCUGAACCAGCCAUGCCGCGUGGAGGAUUAAGGCCCUNUGGGUU